RNAcentral lists this ribosomal RNA (253 nucleotides) under uncultured bacterium. RNAcentral describes it as "partial 16S ribosomal RNA". It matches the Rfam family "Bacterial small subunit ribosomal RNA", at positions 8 to 231 of the family's 1533-position model. The record is from RNAcentral.
AGAGUUUGAUCAUGGCUCAGGAUGAACGCUAGCUACAGGCUUAACACAUGCAAGUCGAGGGGAAACGACAUCGAAAGCUUGCUUUUGAUGGGCGUCGACCGGCGGCACGGGUGAGUAACGCGUAUCCCAACCUGCCCAUCGACUUGGGGAUAACCUUGACGAAAGUAAGAACUAACUACCAAUGAUAUCUACUAGGAAGGACUAUCUAGAAAAGUAAGAAUUUAAAGGUAUUUAAGUCGGUUGAAGUUGGAGU